AGCAGCCGCGGUAAUUCCAGCUCCAAUAGCGUAUAUUAAAGUUGUUGCAGUUAAAAAGCUCGUAGUUGAAUUUCGGGAUCGAAUUGUCGGUCGUGCUUCGGUACGCACUGGCAUUAUCGGUUCCUACCUUCUGAAGAGCCGCGAUGUCAUUAAUUUGGUGUCGUGGGGAAUCAGGACUGUUACUUUGAAAAAAUUAGAGUGUUUAAAGCAGGCUUACGCUUGAAUACAUUAGCAUGGAAUAAUGAAAUAGGACGUUUGAUUCUAUUUUGUUGGUUUCUAGGAUCGACGUAAUGAUUAAUAGGGAUAGUUGGGGGCAUUAGUAUUCAAUUGUCAGAGGUGAAAUUCUUGGAUUUAUUGAAGACUAACUACUGCGAAAGCAUUUGCCAAGGAUGUUUUCAUUAAUCAAGAACGAAAGUUAGGGGAUCGAAGACGAUCAGAUACCGUCGUAGUCUUAACCAUAAACUAUGCCGACUAGGGAUCGGAUGAUGUUAAUUUUAUAAUGACUC
Molecule: ribosomal RNA, 506 nt
Filed under: uncultured Glomeromycotina
Lineage: Eukaryota; Fungi; Glomeromycota
Description: SSU rRNA
Rfam family: Eukaryotic small subunit ribosomal RNA
Source: RNAcentral